CAACAAUGAUAUGGCCUAAAACUCCAGAUAGUGUUUUAAGCCAUAUCAUUGUUGGCCCAAAACACUAUCUGGAAUUUUGGCAAUAUAAAAAAUGUGCCAUCGAAGGCAAGAAGAAUAAGCACUCGUGUACUUUCAGUUUUGGUUCUCGUUUCGCCAAAACUGAAACUUCUAUUUUUGGUCAGCAUUGGCCAAAACUGAAAUCAAUAAUUCAGUUGAACACUACCCUUUUAUAGUAUGUUUUCGCCAAAGAAACUACCUAAGUCAGGGAAUGAAUGAAUUAAAAUAAUAAUAAUAAUAAUGCACGUAUCUGUGAUCACAUGCUGUCCAAGUUGCGACUUACUCUCAACAGCUAAUUGCUUUU
This 361-nucleotide long non-coding RNA is filed under the name Androctonus crassicauda. The record is from RNAcentral. Lineage: Eukaryota; Metazoa; Arthropoda; Arachnida; Scorpiones; Buthidae.